GAUGAACGCUAGCUACAGGCUUAACACAUGCAAGUCGAGGGGUAACGAGAGGAAAGCUUGCUUUCCUUGUCGACGACCGGCGCACGGGUGAGUAACGCGUAUCCAACCUGCCCCCAACUAGGGAAUAACCUUGCGAAAGUAAGACUAAUACCCUAUAAUUUCCUCAGAUGUCAUCUGACGAGGAAUAAAGAUUUAUCGGUUGUGGAUGGGGAUGCGUCUGAUUAGCUUGGUGGCGGGGUAACGGCCCACCAAGGCAACGAUCAGUAGGGGUUCUGAGAGGAAGGUCCCCCACAUUGGAACUGGGACACGGUCCAAAGUCCUACGGGAGGCAGCAGUGAGGAAUAUUGGUCAAUGGGCGGAAGCUUGAACCAGCCAAGUAGCGUGCAGGAUGACGGCCCUAUGGGUUGUAAACUGCUUUUAUACAGGAAUAAAGUUAGCCACGUGUGGUUAUUUGUAGGUACUGUAUGAAUAAGGACCGGCUAAUUCCGUGCCAGCAGCCGCCGUAA
This 506-nucleotide ribosomal RNA is filed under the name uncultured bacterium. RNAcentral's name for it is "partial 16S ribosomal RNA". It matches the Rfam family "Bacterial small subunit ribosomal RNA", at positions 28 to 523 of the family's 1533-position model. The record is from RNAcentral.